Long non-coding RNA from Phodopus roborovskii (desert hamster), 680 nucleotides. RefSeq lists it as uncharacterized. The record is from RefSeq and is a predicted model, not a curated record. NCBI's taxonomy places the organism in Eukaryota, Metazoa, Chordata, Mammalia, Rodentia, Cricetidae. The transcript has 2 exons.
UUAUGGGCGGCAACCUCACGAGGGCCGUCCAAUCGUUAUUGGACAACUGAAGCCCAGAGUGGCAUGAGGCCCACCCAAUAGCGGGCCAAGCUGGAGGUUCGCGGCUUCAGGCGCCCAAUGUGGGCCUUGUGCCGAAGAAGUAGGGGCGGGGGGAAGUUUAGGAGUUGAGGAAAGAAGAUUAAAGAGCGCGAGGAGAUCUCAUCAGGAGAAGUAGUAAGGAGAAACUGCUUUAAAACAUUUGGGAUAUGGAAGUGGUGUUAUUUUCUGAAAUAAUUAUGUUUUUCUUACACGGAUGGAGACAUCAUCAGCUUGUGGAAGACAGUUCUGGAUACUUGGGAUGAAACAAUGAAGCAAAGGGGAAAUUGUUGGUGUCUGUGGAGCUUACAUACAGUUUGUACACUCCACAUUGCUAAGAGAUUUUUCUUUAAAAAUUACACUUCAAAAAUCUAGUUGCUUUUGUGUUUUACAAACUCCUGUUUUAAGGAGCUUACUAAGUUUGAAGGUGUAGAACAUGUUUAUGAUUGCCAAAUAAAUAGAGGAAGAACUCAGUUUAUUUAAAUUAUUUGUAUCCUUUGUUAUUGUGAAAUGUUUUCAUAAAAUUUCAGUAAAUCUUUGAGUUUUUUUUAAUUCACAAUUUUGGUCAUGUCUUUGGAAUAAAUAAAAUGUUGCUUUGUAGUAAA